UAGCGUAUAUUAAAGUUGUUGCGGUUAAAAAGCUCGUAGUUGGAUUUCUGUUGAGGUUAGGCGGUCCGCACUACGUGCGUGUAUCUGCGUUGACCUCGGCAUCCUCUCGAAAGACGUUUUCUGUGCUUCGUUGCAUGGUGCGGACUUCGGGACUUUUACUUUGAGGAAAUUAGAGUGUUCACGGCAGGCAAUCGCCCUGAAUAUAUUAGCAUGGAAUAAUAAUAUAGGAUCUGAUGCCUAUUUUGUUGGUUUCUAGGCGUGAGAUAAUGAUUAAUAGGGACAAUUGGGGGGAUUCGUAUUAUGGCGUC
This 308-nucleotide ribosomal RNA is filed under the name Amoebophrya sp. RNAcentral's name for it is "SSU rRNA". It matches the Rfam family "Eukaryotic small subunit ribosomal RNA", at positions 595 to 906 of the family's 1831-position model. Lineage: Eukaryota; Dinophyceae; Syndiniales; Amoebophryaceae. The record is from RNAcentral.